GAUGAACGCUGGCGGCGUGCCUAGUACAUGCAAGUCGAGCGAACAGACGAGGAGCUUGCUCCUCUGACGUUAGCGGCGGACGGGUGAGUAACACGUGGAUAACCUACCUAUAAGACUGGGAUAACUUCGGGAAACCGGAGCUAAUACCGGAUAAUAUAUUGAACCGCAUGGUUCAAUAGUGAAAGACGGUUUUGCUGUCACUUAUAGAUGGAUCCGCGCCGCAUUAGCUAGUUGGUAAGGUAACGGCUUACCAAGGCAACGAUGCGUAGCCGACCUGAGAGGGUGAUCGGCCACACUGGAACUGAGACACGGUCCAGACUCCUACGGGAGGCAGCAGUAGGGAAUCUUCCGCAAUGGGCGAAAGCCUGACGGAGCAACGCCGCGUGAGUGAUGAAGGCCUUCGGAUCGUAAAACUCUGUUAUUAGGGAAGAACAAAUGUGUAAGUAACUAUGCACGUCUUGACGGUACCUAAUCAGAAAGCCACGGCUAACUACGUG
Molecule: ribosomal RNA, 497 nt
Filed under: uncultured bacterium
Lineage: Bacteria
Description: partial 16S ribosomal RNA
Rfam family: Bacterial small subunit ribosomal RNA
Source: RNAcentral